GUCCAUGGUGGUCCACGCGUAGUCUUCAUGACUGUCAGCUGGUCUCGAAGUGUUUAGUACACAGUGUUAGGAAGCCUGAAAAAUUAAAAUGGGCUGUUUUGCCUCCCACGGGGAGACAUUUCUGCAGUUUUUUCAUUGCUUCUGUGACGACUAGAAGAAACAGAACAAGGGAGAGAAUUUUGGAAUUCCAAAUGUCUCUGCUCCACUUGUCCCUUCUUUUCCUGAAGGAAAAAAAGAAGCAGCAGAAGGUGGAAGAGCAACUCGGGAGCAGGGUCUGGCAGACUUUCCCGGAGAGGGUCAGAGAGUGACCAUUUAGGCUUUGCAGGCCAGACGGUCUGUGCCCCAGGCACUCCACUCUGCCCCCCCCCCCCCCCCCCCCCGGAGUGGAUGCAGCCACACAGAGAACAAGCAACUCUGCCUGUGAAUUGUACCUGAAAUUACCUGGUGUGGAUUUGUGUGAUGGAGGAGCGUGGAAUUCACAAGCUCUUUGGCUGCUCCAAUGGCUCAUAUCUUUAACAAUUGCUGCCACGAGGAUUGAAACACUUGAAAGGCUGUCAUCAACUGUCCCUAUCAUUGUUUGUCUUUAUUCCCUUGGAAAGCUUGGAAUGUCAGGAUUCUUGCAGGGUAAUUACCAUAUCUACAACAUACAAGAUGCCAGCCCAUAUGGGAUACCCCAUAAUUUUGCAGCAACAGAAACAAACAGCCAUUUCUUGAUUAUGCCUCACAUGAACUGUGGUUACCGCAUCUUAAGCUUCAAAGCAUUGAAAAUUGCAGCAUCUCAUAAGCAAACCUAUUUGGCAAUUUUUUUCAACUGUCCAUGAACAAAUCUGCUGGUUCCUUCACUAAAAGCCUUCUUG
RNAcentral lists this long non-coding RNA (857 nucleotides) under Equus caballus (horse). RNAcentral's name for it is "lncRNA (ENSECAG00000049103.1)". The record is from RNAcentral. Lineage: Eukaryota; Metazoa; Chordata; Mammalia; Perissodactyla; Equidae.